CAACAACAAUUAACAAGACAUUACACAUAAAACUAAAGAUUGAGCAACAUAAGCCCCCUUUUCAAAAGUGGGGGUAAACUCAUUGGACCAGGUAGGAAAAGUACUCCCUGCUUUUUCCUCAUGCAGUAAAAGGGAAGAUAACUGCAUUUGAUAAUGUCAAAAUCACAUCAAUAUAAACAUUAUUGGCUUCAUAUAAAAAACAAUAGAAACUAAUAAACUAUAAACACAUAUAAAUUAUUGAA
This 242-nucleotide long non-coding RNA is filed under the name Mytilus galloprovincialis (Mediterranean mussel). Lineage: Eukaryota; Metazoa; Mollusca; Bivalvia; Mytilida; Mytilidae. The record is from RNAcentral.